UACGAAGGGGACUAGCGUUGUUCGGAUUUACUGGGCGUAAAGGGUGUGUAGGCGGUUCUUUAAGUUUGGUGUGAAAUCUCCCGGCUCAACCGGGAGGGUGCGCCGAAUACUGAGGGACUAGAGUGCGGGAGAGGAAAGUGGAAUUCCUGGUGUAGCGGUGAAAUGCGUAGAUAUCAGGAGGAACACCGGUGGUGUAGACGGCUUUCUGGACCGUAACUGACGCUGAGACACGAAAGCGUGGGUAGCAAACAGG
RNAcentral lists this ribosomal RNA (253 nucleotides) under uncultured bacterium. RNAcentral's name for it is "partial 16S ribosomal RNA". It matches the Rfam family "Bacterial small subunit ribosomal RNA", at positions 524 to 776 of the family's 1533-position model. The record is from RNAcentral.